GUGCUACUCCUUCCGUCCCGAAUUACUUGUCGCAGAGAUGGACGUAUCUAGACGCAUUUUUAGUUUUAGAUACAUCCAUUUCUGCGACAAGUAAUUCGGGACGGAGGGAGUAUUUG
Molecule: non-coding RNA, 116 nt
Organism: Triticum urartu
Lineage: Eukaryota; Viridiplantae; Streptophyta; Magnoliopsida; Poales; Poaceae
Source: Rfam